Vollenhovia emeryi is the source of this 417-nucleotide long non-coding RNA. RefSeq lists it as uncharacterized. The record is from RefSeq and is a predicted model, not a curated record. The transcript has 2 exons. Lineage: Eukaryota; Metazoa; Arthropoda; Insecta; Hymenoptera; Formicidae.
AAAAUCGUCAUCCUUAUUCAUACAUACCAUUCAGUGCGGGACCACGUAACUGUAUCGGCCAACGAUUUGCUAUGCUGGAAAUGAAGGCUAUGAUAGCUCCUCUAAUACAUAAUUUCUACGUCGAGCCUAUUGAUUAUCUAAAGAAUAUUCAAAUACAAGCUGAUUUGGUUAUUCGACCUGUUCCUCCAUUUCGUGUAAGAUUUGUUCCUGUCCGUGAAACGAAUGCAAGCCUUUGAAGCAAAUAACAAUUUAUGAACAUUGUUGAAGGUAAAGGGAAGACUCUGUUUGUCUACCAAACGAUUUUGUAGGCAACGCUAACAGUGUAAUAGUAACAUUUAAUGCAUAUGUUAUUAUCAGAGGUCAUAAAAAUUGUAAUAUAAAUAAAAUAUAAUAAAUACAAGAUAUAUUAUAAAUAAA